This 600-nucleotide ribosomal RNA is filed under the name Cylidrus centralis. RNAcentral's name for it is "eukaryotic LSU rRNA". It matches the Rfam family "Eukaryotic large subunit ribosomal RNA", at positions 670 to 1262 of the family's 3401-position model. Lineage: Eukaryota; Metazoa; Arthropoda; Insecta; Coleoptera; Cleridae. The record is from RNAcentral.
CGGAGUCUAGCAUGUGCGCGAGUCAUUGGGAAAAACCUAAAGGCGCAAUGAAAGUGAAGGUCCGCCUUGCGCGGCCGAGGGAGGAUGGGGGCCCGCCCCGCACUCCCGGGGCGUCUCGUUCUCAUUGCGAGAAGAGGCGCACCAAGAGCGUACACGCUGGGACCCGAAAGAUGGUGAACUAUGCCUGGUCAGGACGAAGUCAGGGGAAACCCUGAUGGAGGUCCGUAGCGAUUCUGACGUGCAAAUCGAUCGUCGGAACUGGGUAUAGGGGCGAAAGACUAAUCGAACCAUCUAGUAGCUGGUUCCCUCCGAAGUUUCCCUCAGGAUAGCUGGCGCUCGUCGCCUACGAGUCUCAUCCGGUAAAGCGAAUGAUUAGAGGCAUUGGGGUCGAAACGGCCUCAACCUAUUCUCAAACUUUAAAUGGGUGAGAUCUCCGGCUUGCUCGACACGGAUCAGAGUGCCAAGUGGGCCAUUUUUGGUAAGCAGAACUGGCGCUGUGGGAUGAACCAAACGCCGAGUUAAAGCGCCUAAAUCGACGCUUAUGGGAUACCAUGAAAGGCGUUGGUAACUUAAGACAGCAGGACGGUGGCCAUGGAAGUC